Molecule: ribosomal RNA, 497 nt
Filed under: uncultured bacterium
Lineage: Bacteria
Description: partial 16S ribosomal RNA
Rfam family: Bacterial small subunit ribosomal RNA
Source: RNAcentral
UCUUCCCUCUGGCGGCGUGCCUAAUACAUGCAAGUCGAACGAACGGACGAGAAGCUUGCUUUUCUGAUGUUAGCGGCGGACGGGUGAGUAACACGUGGAUAACCUACCUAUAAGACUGGGAUAACUUCGGGAAACCGGAUCUAAUACCGGAUAAUAUUUUGAACCGCAUGGUUCAAAAGUGAAAGACGGUCUUGCUGUCACUUAUAGAUGGAUCCUCGCUGCAUUAGCUAGUUGGUAAGGUAACGGCCUACCAAGGCAACGAUGCAUAGCCGACCUGAGAGGCUGAUAGGCCACACUGGAACUGAGACACGGUCCAGACUCCUACGGGAGGCAGCAGUAGGGAAUCUUCCGCAAUGGGCGAAAGCCUGACGGAGCAACGCCGCGUGAGUGAUGAAGGUCUUCGGAUCGUAAAGCUCUGUUAUUAGGGAAGAACAUAUGUGUAAGUAACUGUGCACAUCUUGACGGUAACUAAUAAGAAAGCAACGGCUAACUACGUG